ACUGCAGGGAGGAGGGGAGGGAAACAGGAGCAAUUCUAGGCGCGAUGGGAGUUGUAGUCCUGGCGGUGAUCACGUGGUCAGAACGACAGUGUGUGAUUGGUCGCGAGGGGUCACCGGGCGUUUCGCCGGUGAUGGAGGCCGGCCGCCAUUUUGUGGCUGGGGUGCUUCCCGUGCGGGAAGAGGAGUGGCGGCGGCCCCAGGGGGAGCUGAGCAGUCAUGCACCGUGUGGGUGCCGAUGACUCAAGGAAGACGAGUGCCUGGGAGACUAAACUUGUGCCACGAGGCAGGAGUCCCACUGACCAGUGUCUUCACGAUGGUGUCUGAAAUAGUGCUUCUGCUGUGACCAGCCUGGCAGGCAGGUAGAGCUCUGGCAUUGUUAUGCAAAGAUCAGAUAACAGAGUGCAGAGGAGGCAUGAAAGCAAGUGGUUAUUGUACAGGGACUGCAGCAUAGGCGUAACCUGCAGGUGGGAUAUCUAGGGAAUGAUGUGGCAGCUGAAGUGUCAUUUGCUUAAACUUCUGUUCACCUCUGAAUUUAGACCAAUGUUAUUAUGUUAUUGCUUAAUGUUUUGGGGAAUAAGGGAAAAGAGAGCUGCAAUUAAUUUGAGUGGGACUUAUGAAAACCUGAGCUGAUUGCAGGCUCAUUGUCCCUUGAUAUUUAAACUGAUUAGCUGGUUAGUAUUUCUCUGAGAACACUCAGUUUCAAAGAAAACAAAACAAAACAAUAACGACAACAAAACCACAAACACCUGGUUUCAAAAAAAAAAAGAAAUCAACAAAAAAUUGCAGUUAAAAUAAAUGGAAAUGAAGGUGGAAAAAGGAAGAUUUUUAUAUUCUUUAUGAAAAAAAAUGCCAAACUGAAUCUGCCUGCAAUUUAUUAGACCAAUUUAGUUACAUCUCUUGUUACUAUUGUUUUAAAUACAUUCAGCAUGCACUUUCUGGUUUGAUGUGUUCAGAAACUUGUUGUUAGUCAUAAGCAAUAGCUCUCUGUAUUAUUAAAUUUCUCUCCUUAAUAGCAGUAGAUUGUUCAUUGGUUAAGCAAGUAUUACUCUCAUUUUUCUUGUUGUCAGACUAUAAAUUCACUUGUGACAGUCCAUACACAACAGCUUUUAACUGUGUGUUUUACAAGGAUGCUGCCAAUGGAAUUACUUCAGAAUUACAUUGAUAAAAGAGUAGUAGCUGGUGUUUUUAAAAAGUAUUUUCGAGAUACCCUAAGCAGACAUGUCAGUGUUGACAGGAGGUGAAAUUAUGUGACUUCAAUUUUGACAUUGCUGAGGAUUUAAAAAGAAUUUAAUAUCUUAGUUCUCAGGGCUCAGAGCUGGAUCUUCCAUCAAAGCGUACUUCUAAAAUAUAUUCUCUUGAUCUGCAGCAUUUUUUUUGAGGAAGAUGGCUUGUCCAUCUAUUGACAGUCGUAAGGCGAAAUAGUGAGCUGCUCUGCUUUUCCUUGGGGCAAGUGGAGAUCCUCUGAUAACGUGUUGAAAUACUCAUAGAUUCCGUGGUAGUGAUGAUACUGAUUGGGUGGUUUGCUUAUUGUUAACCUCCGUACUGAGGGUUCUUUAGAGGACAAGGCUAAUGUGGCUCUAUUGCUUCACAGUGAUCUUAUUGUUACAUAUAUAGCUAUAAACCUAUAUAUACGUGUGUGUGUGUAUAUCUGCAAUGUAUAUAUAUAUACUAAUAUAUAUAUUAAAGAAAAGAGAAGCAGCAUUUACAGUUAUACUGCAGCAUUUAAUAUGAAGUCCCAGGAGUCUCCUUCUUGUUUUCCAGAAGCAGUAUUUCUCCCUUCUGUAAAUAUGGCACCUUAAACUACGUGCAUUUCUUAUCUUACUUUGUUUCAGUUACUAACAUCUCAGUUCAGUCAAGAUAUUUUAUUUACUGGAGAGCAAUUCGCUUUCUCCACUGACCUGUCUGUUUUUGAUCUCUGCUCUAAACUUUGGUUUUAAAGAAUGUUUUUGUAAUAUGUUGGCUAAAUUGAAUGUAUCAUCUAUACAUAAUCAUUAUCUUGAAAUAUCAACUGUUCAAAAUGCUGAAUGCAAAAUAGACUGAUGGUUUCUACUUUAUGCUGUGUGUCAGCAUCACUAGGUCACUUUACACGUUUGCUUAUGAGGUCAACAAAGAGCUAUUGUCUGCCAAAACACAGAUUUUUUUUUUUUUAUAUUUGUUUAAGAACUGGCUGUGUUCGGUCAGCAUUCAGGCAUGCUGAAGAGAUAGUGAGUUGAAUUUUAUUUGUGAAUUUGCUGUGUAAUUCAGGCAGUAAUGAUUCAUUAAAAAUCAGGUUAAAAAAAAAAAAAAAAGG
Long non-coding RNA from Cygnus olor (mute swan), 2290 nucleotides. RefSeq lists it as uncharacterized. NCBI's taxonomy places the organism in Eukaryota, Metazoa, Chordata, Aves, Anseriformes, Anatidae. The transcript has 2 exons. The record is from RefSeq and is a predicted model, not a curated record.